UCUCUCUUGCAGUCUGCUUCAUCUUCCCAUGAAGAGGAAUCAAAGAGAAGCCCUUUAAAGCAGUAAGACGUGGAAGAAGAACACCCCAAUAAUCAACACACGCACAAGUCAUAAAGUAUAUUAUAAUCUUUUUUGACUUGUUCUUAAUAAGGAGAUCAACAAGCUGAGACGGUUUAUUAUCGCAUUCCAAAUACUCAAGUUGAAGGCCUGAAGGUGUUUUUGAAGAAGCUAAUUGCGAAGAUGCUGAUUCAUUCAGUGAUUUGGUUUCUGCUCGAACUUCAACCCUCACAGGAUUCCUCAGUCCAGCUUUGGCCAACUCUUCAACUGCCUCAGUUUGAGUAGCUGAGAAAAGACCAGUCCUGCGAAGCUUGGGUAAGUGAGAUAUAAUGGAAUUUAUCUGCUUUUGGAAUCCCAUAUCCAAGAGUCGAUCAGCCUCAUCCAAGAUUAAAACCUCAAGGUUUCGAAAGUCCAGGAAAUCCACACGUUCCAUGAUGUCAUAAAGCCUUCCAGGCGUUCCAAUCAAUAAAUUAGCUCCUUCCUCCUCUAUUUUCUUCAAAUCAGCUUUCACAUCCACCCCGCCAACAAGGAGAAUCGACUUAACAUUCGAUAAAGUUGCAAUGAAAGGU
Molecule: unclassified non-coding RNA, 626 nt
Filed under: Hevea brasiliensis (rubber tree)
Lineage: Eukaryota; Viridiplantae; Streptophyta; Magnoliopsida; Malpighiales; Euphorbiaceae
Source: RNAcentral